UUUCGAUGUCCAAAACUGUAAUUGCAUUUGAAUUCAUGCUUUAGAAUAUGGAUAUAUAAUAUAGUCUUGCAUAUUGGGAAUAACUAAAUGAAAUGGUAAAACAUAGGGAAAUUUUCUCCUUCCAAUUUGUGAAUUCAAACAAAGUUGGAGUCCUUGAAUUUUGAGCCAUACAAGUGUAUCUCUCCCUACAAAUUGAGAAUAAGAAGACAUGGAAACUUUGAAAACGUUUCAGAAGUAGUAAUCAACCGUAACUAAAUUCCGAAUUCAUAUUAUAAUCUUAAAUUGUGAUUUUGUCUUUUUUGCAUGUAUACUAGCAGAGCUCUAAUAACUUCUUAAUUUUUCUUUGUAAAAGUUUCUAUCACUCAUUUUUUCGUCCCAAAAGAGAAAUCCUUUUUAGUAACUUGUGAUCUUUCUGUAGCUUGCUUCGGUGUUCAUGUGAGAGGAUCAGAGUAUAUGCCGCUACUUGGCUCCGACGAUCCAACUUCCUUCUUAUUGGCAGUGCCCGAUGUCGAAAUAUGAUGUAAUUCCUGAUUGUCACAUUCUCAUUCCUUCUACCUAAUUACUUAUAUUAUGAGGUGUUAUAAUUAACUAAGGAGAAGAGUUCUUGAUUUCGACAAGGGUUGUAUCUCAAGGAGCAUAUAUUGCCACUUGCAUUUUGUUCGGAUGUAUUUGCGGUUCAUCAUCAUUAUCUUCUGGUCGCUGGUUGAUGAACAAUUCCUGCGUAUGUUUUCUCAGUAAAGCAGUAAGCUUUAAAAUUCUUCUCUUUGUAAUUUUUUGAGGAUUAGAUUUGUAGAGCUUGGAGCGAAACCCUUUGACAUGAGGUUCACAUGAGAGUGCAGGAUUGCCCUUUCCUGGUAAUUUCUUACUUUAAUCAAUUUAUGCGAACAUCUCCCUGCAGUUUAGUAUUGAACUCACUAAAAAUAUAUAUUAUCAUUGCAUUCAUGUGAAUUGCAACUUUACAUAAUAAGUCAUAGCUCUUAUAAAUUCAAAGAGUUGUAUAGUUACCAAGGCCGGUCCUAAGUUUUUGGAUGCUCAAUGCGAAAGCUCAAAAUAUGGCUUUUUUUUAAUACGGAAACAUAUGUUUAAAAAAAAUUAUUUAACAAGGGCUGAAACCUAGUUGAAGCUGGGGGGGCUAGGCCCUCACGUUCAAAUUAUAUUACUUGAGAAAAUAUACAGGGGGGACAUGGUACCUAAACCCUGACAGUCAAAAGUACAUGAUAUAACAAAAAUUUCUUAUCAAAAUUAUCAUUCCAACACAUAUUAUAUAUUAUAAAAACCCUAACAUCUAUUAUAUUAUAAAAGCCCUAACACAUAGUCAUAACAUAUUAGAAAAAUUGAUAAAAUUGAAACUAAAAAUUGGGUUUAAAAUGAAAUCAAAUCAUUCAAUUCAUCAACAACAACAAUUCUAUACAUCAAUUAUCAUAUAAUUAUAUGUCACUUGCAAAAUUUUAUAUUAAAUUAUGAUUUAAUAAUUCAAAUUUUAAAAAUUAGUUUACCUCAAAACUCAAAAGGGUUGGUGAAUGGUGCAGCGCUAAGGAGUUUUAGGAGUUAAAAUGUUGCACUUGCAGCCAAUGGAAUUAGGAGAAAAGGACAAAGAUGACAAGACAGUGGGGAAAGUGGGAAACAAGUGGGGUGGGGAAUUGGGAAAAAGAGGGGGUGUGUUAGGAACUUAGGGUUAAUUGGGGACAAGUGGUCCCCCUUAUGUUCUUUUUAAAAUGCCCAAAACUUGGGUCGUUACAUCUUUUGUCAAACUUGGGCUCUUGCCCUCCAGCCCCCUAUUUUGGGCUUUGGACACUGACCUGUUGCCAUUGGGCCUGGGCCGGGCCUGAGUUACAACGUGAAUGACUAUCCCACAAUUUCUAAUCGUGCUCAACCGCUCCAUUUUUUUUUUCAUUUCCUUUUGACACCAUCACACAACCUUCAUGAUUUUCUUUAUUUUUUAGGGAACUUUAACGAAAAACUCCUGGUAUUGUUCAUUUUAAUGAAAAAUCAUAUUUUUACACUAAAAAGUCAAUCCUGGCACUAUUUACUUUACCCUUUAUUUUGUCCUUAUCGUUAAAACUCAAAGUUUUUAAGUCAUUUUCAUUAGUUUUCCUUAUUUUUUAUUAUAUUUUUCUUUCCCCUUCAUGUGGACACUAGCAACUUUCACUCAUCCUUUCAUUUUUUUUAAUUCUUUUCUCUCUUCUCACUUAUAUUUAUAUUAUAUUUUUAUGACAAAAUUACCAUAUUACUCCUACAUUAUUUGAUGCAUUAUUUUGGACUGCCUUUGAACUUUUUUGUUUUGGGGGCAUUUUUAUCCAAAUGUUUUUUGGUGAAACCGAGACCCCAAAUUGGGGUUGCUGACUAUAUAUAUAUAAAGAUUAAAGAAUGUCAUGUGCAGCUUGAUCCAAUGGUGGAUUGCCCUUUGACACGAGGUUCACAUGAGAAUGUAGGAUUUGUCUUUCCUGGUAAUUUCUUAUAGGUUGUAUGUUUAAUGUUGAAUGAUGAAACAAAAUUGGUAAUGUUUGGGAGACUGGAGACAAAAUUUACAAAUUAAAUUAUGUGUCACUAAUAAGAAUGAGCACGUUUACCAACGCUUAAGCAGUAACCACUCAUUAAAUUUCAUGUCCUUUAGUUUAAAAAUUUUGUCUACAAAUUUAAUCUCUCUAACAUUAUGCAACAAAAUUAUUUAAUAUAUUGCUUUACCUAAAUCAAUAAAUUUGAAAGUAAACCACCAACUCCGCCACUGAAAUUAGUUUUUCGAUAGCUAUGAUUCCAUCCAAUAUCUACAAUGGUUUUUAUCACAAAUAGUCCUUGAAAUCGACCCAUCUCAUCAAGAUGGUCCCUGAAAUUGAAAAUUGAUCAAUGUAGUCCCUGAAAUUGAAUGCCGCAAAUCAAUGUAAUCCUUCUGUCACAAUUCCGUCAAAAAUUGUGUUAAGUGUUGAUGUAUCAAGUAAUUGCAUCUCAUAAGUCUAAUUAAAUAUUAUUAUAUAAAUUAAAAAUAUUUAAAAAAUAAAAAAUAAUUUUUUAUUUCUAUAUAAUUAUAAACUUAAAAAAAACAAAAGAAGAUUACUGUUUAUCUUCUCCCCACCCCAUUCGAGCAACACCCAGCCCCCGCCCCACCCCCACCCCCACCCCAUCUGCAGUAUUCAACUAAAUUAAAACAGUACUCUACUUCCUCCUCCCCUACUCUGCAUUGCGGAGUGAUAUUUCUCCUCUCGACUUGGCUUCCAUAGCCAGAAAGCUUACUUCUGCAGCAGCAAAGAGCAGCAGGAAGCAAUCUCCAUCUGUCCCUCAAUCUCCUAUGACUUAUUCUUCAAGCAUGAGCGGCCAGUUUUUCCCAAGCCCUAUGUGGAGCUCUUCGUCGUCGCCGGGGAGGAGUCCGGGCAGGUUUGUGGAGUAGGAGAAUUUGGGUAUGAUGGUGGAUUAUGGCUCUCAGAGAUCGUCGCGUCGUUCGUGGAAGCCGCUGUUGGAUACGAUAACGGAGAGAUGGGGUGGAGGUGGGGUGGGGGCUGGGUGUUGCUCGGAUGGGGUGGGGAAGAAGAUAAACAGUAAUCUUUUUUUCUUUUUUUUAAGUUUAUAAUUAUAUAGAAAUAAAAAUUAUUUAUUAUUAUUUAAAUAUUUUUAAUUUAUAUAAUAAUAUUUAAUUCAUGAGACCUAAUUACUUAACACAUCAGCACUUAACUGAAUUUUUUACGGAAUUGUGAUGGAAAAACCAUAUUGAUUUGCAGCAUUCAAUUUCAGAGACUACAUUGAUCGAUUUUCAAUUUCGACCAUCUUGAUUGGAUUGGUCAAUUUCAGAAAUUAUUUGUGAUAAAAGCCUUAUCUUCAAUUAUUUUUAUGUUGGGACAAUAUCAAUUAUUGGCAAAAUGUCUGCUGUCAAGCGGUCAAGGUAUGCAGUAAAUAAACUAAAUAAAGAAGUCAAUUUAUGGUUUUUUUUUAACAAAAUGAGAAUCUUCUUCGGAUCCUCUUUAUGAGAAUACAUAUGAUCUUUUAAUCGUAUUUGUUCAUCGUAAAGACGUGUCAUUUGACUGUGAGUAGGGUGGGUUGAAAUGCCUUUAGCCUUUCCAUGUCACACUGAAGAUAGUCUUACCCUUCAGGGUGUAGGAUAUCUCAUACUUAGGCAAAAGAAUACAUAACAACUUACAUAACACAAAUAUAUUGUUACCGUAAAGUCUCGUGCUAAUAAUUAAUGUUCUAAAAUCCGCUAGGCGCUAGUAGUGCGGCGGGCAGGGACCUAGCGCCUAGGCGGCUAGACGGAGCUUAGACGAAUUUAUAUAAAUUUAUUAUAUAGCUUGUAAAUAAAUGUAUAUUUACACCUAAAAAAACUAUAUUCCUAUGGAUAAUAAAAUAAUGAUAAAAUGCAAAAAUAAAAGUAGAAGACCACACAAAGAAUAUACCUCCAAAAAGACCUUGUAUGUAUAGUUAUUUACAAGGAAAACCCUAUAACCUAAAGAUGAUAAAAGAUUCGACAACUUCUAGAUAUUUUGUUUAAUUUGUUAUAUAUUCUCAAUCCAUUAUUUUAUUAAACAAGUCUUUCUCUUUAUUCAUUGAAUCAUUUCUGACACCCCAAUUGUCAUCUUCUUUUUAUUUAUGCCGUCAAUUUCAAAGUCUCCAUCCCUUAUCUUUACUAGGGGUGGGCACGAUUUGGUUCAGUGCGGUUUUGAGUGAAACCGAAAUCUUUUAUUAUUCGGUUCGGUGCAGUUUUAAACGAUUUCAGUUUGGUUUUUAAGAAAAAAUGAACAAUUUGCAAUUUAACAUAUUAAUAAGCAUUUCCCAGUAGCAAUAGGAAAAAGACAUUUGUUAUGUAAACAAUUAGCAUGUUGCAUGCAGUUGUGAUGUUAAAAUAUGGUUUGUGCAACAAAAUAGUGUCAUCAUGCUUUAAAUGAGUGGACUUCAUUAGAUCAUUGUUCGACUCUUGAUAACAUGAUUAGUCCACCCUUGUAUAUUUAUGUGUAUGUGUGUGUGUAGAUGGUAUAAAAUAAACAAAGGUCCUUCAAGUUUCGGUUUCGGUUUUCGAUUCUAAGUGCCCACCCCUAAUCUUCACUUCUCCAUCAAACCGUAGACCCCUUGGUUUAAACAACCCAAUUACCCUCUUCCUACGCUUAGGGCGGUCUAGAGAUUUUUGAGGUCCGGAGCGACACCAAAAAAUGUAUCCUCAGUUUAUAUAAGAAAAUUAUUUGGUGUCACACGUAAGACAUCGAUAAAAUUAUACUUAGAAAAAUCACUUCAAACUUAAUAAUUUAGAAACACGGAAAAACUAAUUUAUUUUGUAUCGUGAGAAGGAAACAAAAAAAAUCCGGGUUUACAUGUAGAUUGAUAUGAGUUUUGUUUUCCAUCUAAACUUUAAAAGUGUUUUUGUAUAAAUUGUGAGGUGUUUUUUCUUAUUUAUUUACUAACCUUGUCAACAGGGGAUUAAAAAAAUAAUGAUGUUUUUGAGUCUUUAAUUUAUAUGUAUAAGUAAUAAAUUGGUACUAAAUUAAACUUUUUGAUGACAUAUUAUAUAAUUUGCAAAUUUGGUUUAAAAAUUUGGUCAACGCAUUACUCUUUGUUGAAGAUUAGACUUGAAUUGGAACAAAUGUUUAAGAAUAACGACUCACAUAGCUACUAACUACUAAUUAAAAAUAAAUUAACAACCAAACAAAAAUUCGUAAAAAUUGAAAAGAAUAAACAUGCACUUAGCAUCUCAAACUUAGGGCCUCUCGUUAAUUGAUUCUAAUUAAACUUCUUGAUCAUUUAGCCAAAUUUUAUAUAUUUAUACUCUUAUUAAAAGAAAUUUGUAAAAAUUGAAAGGUAAAUAAGCUACAUGAAUACACUCAAUUUUUCUUCGUAAAAGUUUCUAUCACUCUUUUUUUCGUCCCAAAAGAGAAAUCAUUUUUAGUAACUUGUGAUCUUUCUGUAGCUUGCUUCGGUGUUCAUGUGAGAGGAUCAGAGUAUAUGCCGCUACUUGGCUCCGACGAUCCAACUUCCUUCUUAUUGGCAGUGCCCGAUUUUGAAAUAUGAUGUAAUUUUUUAUUGUCACAUUCUCAUUCUUACUACUUAAUUACUUAUAUUAUGAGGUGUUCUAAUUAACCAAGGAGAAAAGUUUUUGAUUUCGACAAGGGUUGUAUUUCAAGGAGCACAUAUAGCCACUUGCAUUUUGUUCGGAUGUAUUUGCGGU
Molecule: long non-coding RNA, 6139 nt
Filed under: Malus domestica (apple)
Lineage: Eukaryota; Viridiplantae; Streptophyta; Magnoliopsida; Rosales; Rosaceae
Description: long non-coding RNA (MDOM_LNC016064)
Source: RNAcentral